Long non-coding RNA from Pseudophryne corroboree (corroboree frog), 1139 nucleotides. RefSeq lists it as uncharacterized. NCBI's taxonomy places the organism in Eukaryota, Metazoa, Chordata, Amphibia, Anura, Myobatrachidae. The transcript is spliced from 4 exons. The record is from RefSeq and is a predicted model, not a curated record.
CCCGUUGCCACAGACCAACUGCCUGGUGGCAGCGUCACCAACUGACUUUUAUGAACAGUACAGCCAAUGGUCAGGUACAUGACCUGCCAUAUGCUGCCCAUACACCAGGACGACCAGCAUCGGGUCCGAUUCCAGGCACCAUUUCCCUUUGAUUCCCCAGGCAGCUGUGGACACACGACAGGUUCGUACAUCUCUAUAAUCUGCAUCGCUCUCUUUGCAUCAAAGAAUGGGAACAAGAUUUCAUUCAGACGAGGAUCUCUUUGAUGCUACAUAACAAAAUUCGCAGAGUCCAUAUCGUGUUAACAGGGCCAUGUGGCGCGUAUUGAGGAUAGAUCCAGCUACGGAAAAUUCUAACAAUUCCAUGAUCAGAAAAUUGAUGCACAAAGAGGACCUACUAACCUUUAUGGUUUUUGCAUAAGCAAAAGUGAAAAAGCUGUUUUGUGAUGUCAUCCACCGACACCUAUGCAAGUUCUGGCACAUGCAAAACAAGAACCGCCCAUUUUAUUACCUUGGACAGUGCAAACAAUACCUUCUUUUACCGCAAAUACUUUCCCUGUAAGACCAGAAGUACUUGCACUCCUACUCUUACAAAGUGAAUCUUAAAUCUGCUUAAACAAGAUUUACUUUUGUGAGAUAACGGUGUGCAUAAGGCACAUUUGCUGUUUCUUCGAAAAGAACCUAAUUUCCUGCCACAGAAGCGUAGUGUUUGGGGAAGGGAUGCCAGUUCAGAGCAUUGAGUCUUCUACCCAAAUUUUUUCUCUAAUGGGCAAAACCAUGUGCAGUGCAGGGGGGGCAGAUAUAACAUGUGCAGAGAGAGUUAGAUUUGGGUGGGUUAUUUUGUUUCUGUGCAGAGUAAAUACUGGCUGCUUUAUUUUUACACUGCAAUUUAGAUUUCAGUUUGAACACACCCCACCCAGAUCAGAUCUGAAUUAGGCCCAAGGUUUGAUGCAGAUGGUGGAGAGCUCAGAUGACGUUACACAUAUUAAUAAAACAAUAAGAUAGAGGAAUAUACACUAGGGUGCAUCAAACGCCCCAUGGAUUUUUAAAAGUAAGAAAAAUGAUUUGUCCCCAUGCUACAUUUUUUUGAAUUGUUAAGGAUAUAUUGCAUACCAAUUUUGAAGAAUUUGAGAUGAUAUUUA